AGGAAAAGAAAUCAACCGAGAUUCCCCCAGUAGCGGCGAGCGAACGGGGAGGAGCCCAGAGCCUGAAUCAGCAUGUGUGUUAGUGGAAGCGUCUGGAAAGGCGCGCGAUACAGGGUGACAGCCCCGUACACAAAAGCGCAUGUGCUGUGAGCUCGAUGAGUAGGGCGGGACACGUGGUAUCCUGUCUGAAUAUGGGGGGACCAUCCUCCAAGGCUAAAUACUCCUGACUGACCGAUAGUGAACCAGUACCGUGAGGGAAAGGCGAAAAGAACCCCGGCGAGGGGAGUGAAAAAGAACCUGAAACCGUGUACGUACAAGCAGUGGGAGCACAGGUUUACCUGUGUGACUGCGUACCUUUUGUAUAAUGGGUCAGCGACUUAUAUUCUGUAGCAAGGUUAACCGUAUAGGGGAGCCGGAGGGAAACCGAGUCUUAACCGGGCGUUAAGUUGCAGGGUAUAGACCCGAAACCCGGUGAUCUAGCCAUGGGCAGGUUGAAGGUUGGGUAACACUAACUGGAGGACCGAACCGACUAAUGUUGAAAAAUUAGCGGAUGACCUGUGGCUGGGGGUGAAAGGCCAAUCAAACCGGGAGAUAGCUGGUUCUCCCCGAAAGCUAUUUAGGUAGCGCCUCGUGAAUUCAUCUCCGGGGGUAGAGCACUGUUUCGGCUAGGGGGCCAUCCCGGCUUACCAACCCGAUGCAAACUGCGAAUACCGGAGAAUGUUAUCACGGGAGACACACGGCGGGUGCUAACGUCCGUCGUGAAGAGGGAAACAACCCAGACCGCCAGCUAAGGUCCCAAAGUCAUGGUUAAGUGGGAAACGAUGUGGGAAGGCCCAGACAGCCAGGAUGUUGGCUUAGAAGCAGCCAUCAUUUAAAGAAAGCGUAAUAGCUCACUGGUCGAGUCGGCCUGCGCGGAAGAUGUAACGGGGCUAAACCAUGCACCGAAGCUGCGGCAGCGACACUCAGGUGUUGUUGGGUAGGGGAGCGUUCUGUAAGCCUGUGAAGGUGGCCUGUGAGGGUUGCUGGAGGUAUCAGAAGUGCGAAUGCUGACAUAAGUAACGAUAAAGCGGGUGAAAAGCCCGCUCGCCGGAAGACCAAGGGUUCCUGUCCAACGUUAAUCGGGGCAGGGUGAGUCGACCCCUAAGGCGAGGCCGAAAGGCGUAGUCGAUGGGAAACGGGUUAAUAUUCCCGUACUUGGUGUUACUGCGAAGGGGGGGACGGAGAAGGCUAUGUUGGCCGGGCGACGGUUGUCCCGGUUUAAGCGUGUAGGUGUGUGUUCCAGGUAAAUCCGGUUCACUUUAACACUGAGGCGUGACGACGAGGCACUACGGUGCUGAAGCAACAAAUGCCCUGCUUCCAGGAAAAGCCUCUAAGCAUCAGGUAACAUCAAAUCGUACCCCAAACCGACACAGGUGGUCAGGUAGAGAAUACCAAGGCGCUUGAGAGAACUCGGGUGAAGGAACUAGGCAAAAUGGUGCCGUAACUUCGGGAGAAGGCACGCUGACACGUAGGUGAAGUGAUUUACUCAUGGAGCUGAAGUCAGUCGAAGAUACCAGCUGGCUGCAACUGUUUAUUAAAAACACAGCACUGUGCAAACACGAAAGUGGACGUAUACGGUGUGACGCCUGCCCGGUGCCGGAAGGUUAAUUGAUGGGGU
This 1657-nucleotide ribosomal RNA is filed under the name Salmonella enterica subsp. enterica serovar Paratyphi A. RNAcentral's name for it is "partial 23S ribosomal RNA". It matches the Rfam family "Bacterial large subunit ribosomal RNA", at positions 214 to 1890 of the family's 2925-position model. The record is from RNAcentral. Lineage: Bacteria; Pseudomonadati; Pseudomonadota; Gammaproteobacteria; Enterobacterales; Enterobacteriaceae.